This 444-nucleotide ribosomal RNA is filed under the name Triticum aestivum (bread wheat). RNAcentral describes it as "partial small subunit ribosomal RNA". The record is from RNAcentral. Lineage: Eukaryota; Viridiplantae; Streptophyta; Magnoliopsida; Poales; Poaceae.
AUGGGGCUUGGAUGUGGCUCCAGAGGCAUGACAGGUAUAUGGUGCUCACGGUGGCUGAUGCAUUACAUGAGCACAACUGGAUUAAGAUUCAGUAUAGCAUCUGUAAUGACAUCAUCAGUGAUUUCCUCUUCGUUUAGAGAAGCUGCAGCACUCCCAAAUUCAGCUAUGCCAGGACAUCCCUCAUUCUAUCAUCUGGAGGAUAACCAAGUCAGAGGGAGUACUUUGUUUUCUGAACCUGUAUGCCGACUGAGCAGAGUAGCAAUGGCCCUGAAGUUGCUCUACAGGUGUACUAAUACGACCAAGCCGAGGAAGAGGACGGUGGCCCUGAAGUUGCUCGUGUUAGAAUCGAUGGAUCGUUGCCACUCCAACCACGACCAUUGCCGAGGAGAGAUGGAGUGUGAGAGAAAACCAGUCUUUCGCUAUAUUUUUUUCAUUCUUCCGUAG